GACGAACGCUGGCGGCGUGCUUAACACAUGCAAGUCGAACGAUGAUGCCCAGCUUGCUGGGCGGAUUAGUGGCGAACGGGUGAGUAACACGUGAGUAACCUGCCCCUGACUCUGGGAUAAGCGUUGGAAACGACGUCUAAUACUGGAUAUGAUCACCGGCCGCAUGGUCUGGUGGUGGAAAGAUUUUUUGGUUGGGGAUGGACUCGCGGCCUAUCAGCUUGUUGGUGAGGUAAUGGCUCACCAAGGCGACGACGGGUAGCCGGCCUGAGAGGGUGACCGGCCACACUGGGACUGAGACACGGCCCAGACUCCUACGGGAGGCAGCAGUGGGGAAUAUUGCACAGUGGGCGAAAGCCUGAUGCAGCAACGCCGCGUGAGGGAUGACGGCCUUCGGGUUGUAAACCUCUUUUAGUAGGGAAGAAGCGAAAGUGACGGUACCUGCAGAAAAAGCACCGGCUAACUACGUGCCAGCAGCCGCGGUAAUACGUAGGGUGCAAGCGUUGUCCGGAAUUAUUGGGCGUAAAGAGCUCGUAGGCGGUUUGUCGCGUCUGCUGUGAAAUCCCGAGGCUCAACCUCGGGCUUGCAGUGGGUACGGGCAGACUAGAGUGCGGUAGGGGAGAUUGGAAUUCCUGGUGUAGCGGUGGAAUGCGCAGAUAUCAGGAGGAACACCGAUGGCGAAGGCAGAUCUCUGGGCCGUAACUGACGCUGAGGAGCGAAAGCAUGGGGAGCGAACAGGAUUAGAUACCCUGGUAGUCCAUGCCGUAAACGUUGGGCGCUAGAUGUAGGGACCUUUCCACGGUUUCUGUGUCGUAGCUAACGCAUUAAGCGCCCCGCCUGGGGAGUACGGCCGCAAGGCUAAAACUCAAAGGAAUUGACGGGGGCCCGCACAAGCGGCGGAGCAUGCGGAUUAAUUCGAUGCAACGCGAAGAACCUUACCAAGGCUUGACAUACACCGGAAACGGCCAGAGAUGGUCGCCCCCUUGUGGUCGGUGUACAGGUGGUGCAUGGUUGUCGUCAGCUCGUGUCGUGAGAUGUUGGGUUAAGUCCCGCGACGAGCGCAACCCUCGUUCUAUGUUGCCAGCGGGUUAUGCCGGGGACUCAUAGGAGACUGCCGGGGUCAACUCGGAGGAAGGUGGGGAUGACGUCAAAUCAUCAUGCCCCUUAUGUCUUGGGCUUCACGCAUGCUACAAUGGCCGGUACAAAGGGCUGCGAUACCGUAAGGUGGAGCGAAUCCCAAAAAGCCGGUCUCAGUUCGGAUUGAGGUCUGCAACUCGACCUCAUGAAGUCGGAGUCGCUAGUAAUCGCAGAUCAGCAACGCUGCGGUGAAUACGUUCCCGGGCCU
Molecule: ribosomal RNA, 1342 nt
Filed under: uncultured bacterium
Lineage: Bacteria
Description: bacterial SSU rRNA
Rfam family: Bacterial small subunit ribosomal RNA
Source: RNAcentral